UCACGAUUACAUUGUCUGUCUAACACCUACUUGUCUACACUCAUUAAAACUCAUGUCUUAUCUUAUUUCUUCAGAGAUGAAGUCUGUCCAUUCUAAGAGCUUGCUAAGUCCAGGUGGCGGAAGCAAGAAGCUGACUGGUCACAUAUUUAACCACAUGGCAGCAGAGACUAAUGACUGCAAGUGAGACAAGGCUAUACCCCUUCAAAGUCCACUUCAGACAGCAAGGCUGCACCUCUUAAAGUCCAUAACCACCCCAAAUGGUGCCACCAACCUGGAUGUGGGUGUCCAGAUAUGUGAACCUAUGGAGGACAUUCCUCAUUCAGACCACCACAAAGGAAAUUCAUGACGUCAGUACCCCCAGUCCCUCUGUUUUCCGUGUUUGAGGGCUCUUCUGACUUGUGGCCACCCAUGGGCUUCUGCUUCGAAGGCUUCACAAUUCUUCAUUGCGUCUUAAAAUGACAAACUCACGGACUGGGGGAGCUGACUCUAAGGAGGAGAGGAAGUUCCGGUGGGCUGGAGGCAUGUACUCUCUCAUUUCCUGGAGGAAUUCUGCAGCAGAUCCUACAGCAAAACAAAGACAGGUAAGGAGCUGGGGAGAAAGGACUUCCUCAGCUAGGAGAGAAAGAGGGCAAGGUCUGGAAGGCUGGGUGAUCUUAGCCAACAUGGGAGGCUUUGCGGCACAAGGCCAUGCUACACAGCUUGCUACUUGCUCCUAGCAAUGGCUAUUCCUUACGACUCUCAUUAGUCCUGGAAGAAUAAGUAACAGUUUCCUAAUACCAUAUUUUGCUUGUUUUGGCUUUGUCAUCUUUCCUUUCCCCCACCCCCACCCCACCCCUCCAUGACUCCCUCUCUCCUUGGUUUUACUGGACAGGAUUUCAGGAUGUAGCACACGAUGGCUUUGAAUUUGUAACACUUCUGCCUGGGAGGAUCCUUAAUCUGCAUUAAGAUAUAGUCCUGUUAGUUGAAAAGAAAAUAGGCAUUGUCAUUUCCACCCACCUUCACCAACGUCAUGCUUUAUUCCCAGAAGGACAUCAAGACUCUGAAAGAUGCUGCUCUGGCCUGCACUGCCCCCUGAAAAUUUUUUGGGGGUGUCCCAGACGCCCUCGUACAGCAGACCCUCCGGCAGCUUAGGGUUGCCCUUCCAACUGGCUCAAAAAGGAAAGAAAAACCAUUUGGGUUAGUCGCCAGGUAGGAAAUCUGACAGAAGAUGUGGUUCCUCCACCCACCCGUCACUCAAGUUCGUGAAUAGAAAUAAUAGCACAGUUCUGAGGGAAUUUUGACAUUCUUUCUGAGGGGAGCCUUGCUUCACCUUAAUUCAGAUUCAGAAAGAGAAGGUGACUUUCUCUACAAUGUGGAUGCGAGCAACACAAACCAGUCUUUCAACCCAAAGGAUACCGGAGGCCAGCAACUGGGAUCUGGUCUGCUCUUUCUAUGAGUUGAGAAAAUAAAGUCAAGCCUCAGAAUACAUACCCGGACAAAUAUAUGCGAAGAACGUGGAAAAAGGUGUCUGGAUCCACGAAGUCUGUGGAAAGACGAAAGUGUGUGCUAAGUAGUAUCAGGGGUAUUGCAAACAACUGUGUGGAUUUCAAUACAGACUCCAGUAAAGGCAUCAGGCAGACCCACAAGGUCCCUAUGGACAGGAUACCUACUCAUUAGCUCUCCCAUACCUCCAUAUUGGGUCUGCCAAGGGACCAAGUGACAUCACAAUACUGUCAUUCAAAUGAAACUGUCAGCGCCGAACAGCAUCACUCCAUGUGCUUACUGACAAGGCACAUGCAACUCUUGCAGCAACAAAACCAGGACUGGACGUGUACCUCAGUGAUCGUGUCCUUUCUUAGCAUCUCUGAGCUCUGGUCUCCAUCACCCACAGCACGAAUAAACACUCGUGGGCACGCACGCACACACGCACCCACCCAGAAGCCGCAUGGGAUCCACUCAUGGGUCUUCCUAAAGCUUACUAACAUCAGAUUGGAAGAGUUUGCUCCCACAAUAGGCAACCAGAGGCAGCUUCAAACUCACAAACAAAAUCCCACUUAUUAAAUUGAGGCAGGAAGGCAGAUUUCCUUCCCAAAUCACUCUUACGCACGUCCUGGGUUUGGUAGAGUUUCUACAUCGGUUUUGAAACAAUUCGUUUCUCUGUUACCCCCAGAGUGGAUUUGUGGAGAAUCAGAGUUUAGUCAGACCAGAAUCUAGGUUUUUCAACACUUGAAAUCAUAUCUGUAUUCCUCAGGUUUCCGCAGGGGUUUUAGUGUCAGGCAAGAAACGUUCUCAGCAUUAAAAAGACUCCGUCUGGAAUUCUUGGUUCCUUUUUCACUACCGGUGGCAUAUAAC
This is a non-coding RNA of Rattus norvegicus (Norway rat), 2331 nucleotides long. Lineage: Eukaryota; Metazoa; Chordata; Mammalia; Rodentia; Muridae. The record is from RefSeq and is a predicted model, not a curated record.